UACGGAGGGGGCUAGCGUUGUUCGGAAUUACUGGGCGUAAAGCGCACGUAGGCGGCUUUGUAAGUCAGGGGUGAAAUCCCGGGGCUCAACCCCGGAACUGCCCUUGAGACUGCAAGGCUCGAAUCCAGGAGAGGUGAGUGGAAUUCCGAGUGUAGAGGUGAAAUUCGUAGAUAUUCGGAAGAACACCAGUGGCGAAGGCGGCUCACUGGACUGGUAUUGACGCUGAGGUGCGAAAGCGUGGGGAGCAAACAGGAUUAGAAACCCCCGUAGUCC
Molecule: ribosomal RNA, 273 nt
Filed under: uncultured bacterium
Lineage: Bacteria
Description: partial 16S ribosomal RNA
Rfam family: Bacterial small subunit ribosomal RNA
Source: RNAcentral